This 406-nucleotide ribosomal RNA is filed under the name uncultured bacterium. RNAcentral describes it as "partial 16S ribosomal RNA". It matches the Rfam family "Bacterial small subunit ribosomal RNA", at positions 30 to 526 of the family's 1533-position model. The record is from RNAcentral.
AUUGAACGCUGGCGGCAGGCCUAACACAUGCAAGUCGAGCGAGCGGCGGACGGGUGAGUGAUUUCUGGUAAACUGCCUGAUGGAGGGGGGUAACUCCUGGAAACGGUAGCUAAUACCGCAUACCAUCAGAUGUGCCCCGAUGGGAUUAGCUAGUAGGUGGGGUAACGGCGCACCUAGGCGACGAUCCCUAGCUGGUCUGAGAGGAUGACAAGACACACUGGAACUGAGACACGGUCCAGACUCCUACGGUAGGCAGCAGUGGGGAAUAUUGCACAAUGGGCGCAAGCCUGAUGCAGCCAUGCCGCGUGUGUGAAGAAGGCCUUCGGGUUGUAAAGCACUUUCAGCGGGGAGGCGUUACCCGCAGAAGAAGCACCGGCUAACUCCGUGCCAGCAGCCGCGGUAAUUC